ACUAGGGACAGAGGGCCUCAUAACAGUAAGCCUCAGGCUCUUGAAGGCCCUGGUCAAGCAAUGGUAGGAGGCCUCCAUAUUUUACCCACCCUUAGGCCAGGGAAAAAGACUUCUCCAGGGUUGCUUUAUUAGUUUGCUAGGGCUGUAAUAACAACAACAGCAAUGAAAUCACAUUCUGGGCGGCUGAAACAAUGGAAAUUUAUUUCCUUAUGUUAUGAAGGUGAUGCCAUGGUCAUGGAUGAAAAGGUCAAGGAAAGCUUUGUGCUGGACACGGCUUCUGCCAUCUGCAACUACAAUGCCCGCUACAAGGAUCACCCCAAAUACUGGUGCCGAGGCUAUUUCCGUGACUACUGCAACAUCAUCGCCUUCUCCCCUAACAGCACCAACCAUGUGGCCCUGAGGGACACAGGGAACGAGCUCAUUGUCACUAUGUCCUGCCUGACCAAAGAGGACACGGGCUGGUACUGGUGUGGCAUCCAGCGGGACUUUGCCAGGGAUGAGAUGGAUUUUACAGAGCUGAUUGUAACUGACAACAAAGGAACCCUGGCCAAUGACUUUUGGUCUGGGAAAGACCUAUCAGGCAAC
This 585-nucleotide small RNA is filed under the name Pongo abelii (Sumatran orangutan). Its description in RNAcentral is "processed transcript". The record is from RNAcentral. Lineage: Eukaryota; Metazoa; Chordata; Mammalia; Primates; Hominidae.